This is a long non-coding RNA of Triticum dicoccoides, 1728 nucleotides long. RefSeq lists it as uncharacterized. The record is from RefSeq and is a predicted model, not a curated record. The transcript has 3 exons. NCBI's taxonomy places the organism in Eukaryota, Viridiplantae, Streptophyta, Magnoliopsida, Poales, Poaceae.
UCCCGUUCCCUCAGCCGCCGCACUCCACCUAUCUUCCCCUGUCGGCUCCCGAUCUAGCGCUUCCAUCUCCGCUCACCCUAUGCGUCGGGCCCCACCGGACGACACCAACUGCUGCGGCUAGACAACAGUCGGCGCCGUCCAUGACGCGCCCUUCCUCGGUUGCAGUCGACCAGCGCAUGGACGGCGAACCCAUGACGCUCUGGCCAUCUCAACCAGAUCGCCGCUGACAUCUUCUGCCGGCAGCGAGCCAUGGUGAGGUACAGGGGGCCGGCGUCGUCACGGAUGCAGAGUACAGGGCGCGACCGCCACGGAUCCAGCCUCUGCUUCGCCGAUGCAGCCCCCUUCUCUGUUGUAUCUCCUGACCACUGAUCCAUCUUUGGCCAACAGCGAACCAUGGUGAUGUACAGGGCGGCGCUGCCGUCACGGAUGCUGUGUUGUGUACAGGACACCACCGGCACGGAUCCAGCCUCUGCUUUGCCGAUGCAGCCCCCUUAUCUGUUGCAUAUCCCGUCUAGAUUGAUGUGCAUCUUGACACGCGACUUAUUGUACAUGUAGACUUUGUAACCAAGAAUUUAGUGAAGUUCGGUGAGGCACCUUAUGCUGGAUUAUGGAUCUUCAUAUUCUUUAAUUAUAAUUUUGCUAAAAGUGGAUACUCUGGUUAGUAAUGUUUAAAUGAUAUACAGAUGUUGUCAACUGGUCCAAGUCUCUGUACAAGUUUCAAUACAUGAAAUUUUCAAGUGAUUAAAUGUAUUGAUGUAUGUUCUGACAUCUUAAUGUAGAGCGGCCGGAUUUCUUAUUGGCUCACUUGUCUUAUGCAUAGUAAACACAUUACCAUGCUUAUAAAGAAUUCAUUUAAUCACAUCUGACUGAAACAUGGAGAGUAUCUAAUGGCCUCAUGUUCCCUUCUCUAUUAGUAUUUUAUAUUGACUGGUUCCUUCAUAAUGUGGUUAGGUUACUUGCGAAACUGUUUAGUUUGUGGCUACAACUUGUGAAGGUCCUUAUUUGGGUCUCGUCCAAAAAGAUGGAGCUAGAAAUUUUUCAUGUGAGCCUAAUUUUCAGAUUCAUGUUUUCAGUUUGUUCUGCCUCGAAAUGUCCAGUUUGUGUUCCAUGAUGGUAACUUGAAAUAUGAUAUCUUUGGUCCUGUAGGUAUUUUCCAUGUAAAAAUAUAUACUCUGAUGUCUAUUUGCCUUGGUUUUGUGCUAUUCAUAUCGGUGUUUAUAUAGGUUGACUGUACAUUCUGAAUAUUUUCUUCGGAUAUUUUUUAUUUGCUAGAAUAUGAUCGUUAAGGAGCAUGCCUAUGGAUUAUACCUUUCGUCUAUUUGAGCGUCUCCUUCAGGCUAGGUGUACUUAGAAAAUGGAGAAAUGUACUCCUUACAGAUCGACAUGCUAUUGUUAUGUUGUUGCAUCACAAAUCUGGAUGACCACAUAUCUCUUAUGAGAUUUGGAUAUUGAAUGAACCACCACCGCCGUCCACUAUGGAAGGAUGGGGUUUGCUGGACCUCCAAUGAGCAUUACGGUGUUUUUUUAGUGUUUUUUUAGAGAAUGAGCAUUACGGUGUUGGAGCGGAGAAGAGUCGUAUUUUUUUUCUAGGAACUGUUUUGCUUAUGUUCCUGGCUGUAAUUAUUUUUUUUGUAAUUUGUAUUUGAUUAAGAUUUUUUAACGGAAGUCUUUUGUUAGAUAUGUUCAGAAAUCUUUUAAGUACACAUUGGAUCAAAAUGUUAAUGAACC